Coturnix japonica (Japanese quail) is the source of this 4215-nucleotide non-coding RNA. The record is from RefSeq and is a predicted model, not a curated record. Lineage: Eukaryota; Metazoa; Chordata; Aves; Galliformes; Phasianidae.
GUGGGGUAGGGGAGGGUUUCAUACAGAUGCCAAGUCUCUGCUGGUCAAUGGUCCCUUAGUGGUCCUAAUUGGAUAUGUGCUCUGACUUACUGCCAGGACUGGAGCUGACAUGGCUGAAGGCUGACUUCUGAGACUCCCAUUGCUUUGCCUUCUGUUAAGAUACCUUUUAUUCAGAUCAGAUCUAGUCUGUGGAUAUCAACCUGGAGAACAAUUCAGGGAAAUCUUGCCAAGAGGGAAUCAAACAAAGGACUGGAAGGGACAAAAUCUGAAACAGUGCAGUGUGGGUUAACGCUUCAUUUGUGAACCUCUCAGCAUUAAUCAUUUUCAUCUGUAGCACAUGCUGCUGUUGCUCUCAGAGAAUUGAUGCUUGUCCAGUUGGCUCUUGUAUCUGUUAUACAAGAUGCCAGAUUUUCCUAAAAGCCAGGAUCAUUAAUGUUACUAAUCACUCAGUCUCAACUGACUUAAAUCAUGGGGCUUUGUCUGGGAUAUCUUUGUGUCCACACAGUUUCUCAUGGCUCCUGUUGAGUUUACACAGUUGAGUUUAUACUGCUGUACCCACUCCUUUUCCUAAGAAAGUAUUACCCUUAGGCUUCUGACACAUUUAAUUUUUUAGCUGGUGUGCUGCUUUAAUUGUCAUCAAAGCAGAUUUAUGUGAAUACUGCAGAAAAGUGGGAAUGGUGAGAAUGCUUGUUUCCACUUGUGAGUAAGCUGUCAACUAUUUUAUUGAUGAUCUUUAAUUUUCAGGGGUAAGAGAUGCUACCAUUUGUUCUGUGCUCAUGAAGCACUGGAGGCGUAACAGUGUUCAGGCUCCUGAAUUUGAAUGGUAGCUCUGGGUAUCUCUUGGACCUGAGCCACCAGAGCAGGAGAGAUGCCCCUAGGAGGAAACAGAAUUAGCAGAGUGAGCAUUCAACCAUUUUUCCUUCAUUUUAUGUACCAGGGAGAGUAAGAUCUGAGAGGCAGAGAGAAUAUGGGACCACAACUCAUUUCCAAAGCUCUUUCUCAGCGAGUGCUGCUGGCAGGGUAAUGUGGGCAGGGUCCAUGUCAGAGGAGAGAAAAGUGGAGCUAUGCCCUAAUCUAUUACCAGCACAUGAGACUAUGGCUCCUGCUCCUGGAGACUGUCACUCCUCUCAGUGCCUGGACCACAGUAAGAGUCCUUUUUGUACUACCCUGGCUCAGGCUAUGAUGCUAUUUUUAGCUACUGUUUAAGCUCUGCUACAUUAAUAUAUGCUCCUGCAGGGUACACAAUCUUGAAGGUAUCCAGAGCUGCAGAAUCAGUUGCUUUCAUUUAUUAUUUUCUUUGACUAAUGACUGUUAUGAUGAAGAUUUGUACUUUCUGUUUGAUUUUCCCUGGCAUUAGCUCCCAUCAAGUAAUUCAAGUUAUGCCUUUCCUUGCUAGGUGGAAGAGCACUACACAAAAUCAUUGUUUCUCUUCAGGGAGGUGCUUGUGCAUUGUAAUCACAUCACCCUCUGGUCUUCAUUUUUGCACUCACUAAACAGUGUACUCCUUAUCUCUUGCAGGAGCAAGGUGUGUUUUUUGUCUCCUGGACCACUGUGAGAAGUCUUUUCUGCAUGUUUUCCAAAUCUCUGCAAAGGAACAUGUCUUCCUAAGAAAGUGGGCUCCAUUACAUUCAGGAACAGAAUGAGAAUGAAACUCAUCAUUAGUCUGAUUGAUUCAGCAUCUGAAUACACUGUACCAUGAGGAUCCUCUUAUCCUGAGCAGAAGUCUGUCAAAGUCAAUUCCAACAACUGAUGAGGCCGUUCAGAUACCACUUGGAAAAAGAGGAUGAAUGCCAGCAGGCUGUUAACAAAGCAGCAGGUUUGCAGCAUGCUGCUCAAGGAAGACAGGAAGAGUAGGUGUUUGCCUGAAAUCCCAUCAUGGCAACUUCUGCAUUUGAUGAGUAUUACCAGCAUAGACAUGGGCACCGUGGAGGGAAUCCUGGCCACACAGAAAAAUGAAUGAUCAAAUGAGACUAUUAUCGACACAAAAACUGCCUGUCAUUCUGCUACUCCAUAUUAGUCACAGAACACACAUUUCAAAGCCAUGAUUUAAUAGAAAUACUUUAAACCUGACAACUUAUGAUGAUUCAACAAGAUGAGAAAAAGACAAGGGCUCAGUCUCCAAACCCUGGUCACUGGGUGAGCAUUUCAUAAGCCUGAGCAAACAGGAGAGAUCAUUACAAAGAAGUGCUUGAGUUGUUCUGCAUUGCUCUCAAUUAGGCAAGGUAGUCCAGACAACCACUACUCAGGCAUUACAGAGAAGGACAACAAUUUGAUUUCAAGAAGCACUACCUGUCUAAAAGAUCCUGUGAUUAGGAACUCCCACUCCUUUUGGAUGCAAAAUUCAGCACCCUGAAUUUCUGGGGUACAGUUGGACUUGCCAGAUUCUUUCAGGGUCCAGUUCACUACAGUGUCGUCACUGACUUGCUGACCAUCACUCAGGUCCUUGCAAGACAUUCAGCAUGUACCUGAACAGGGGCAGAGAAAACAAGAUUUGGCUCAGAUCCUGGGCUGAGGCACAGCAAGCACACAGCCUGGAGGGAAUGUGAACUCAUAGCAACGUGCAAAGUCUUCAUAUAGCCUCAGCCCUGCUUUUUGUUUUCUUUCUUUUUUUUCCUUUUUUUAUUUUAUUGUUCACCCCUUCAGUGAAAUGGAAGAGCCAUCUAUUGUAACUGUGGCACAAUUUCUGUUAAACUGUUUAACCUCUAAUUCUUAUUUCAUAUUCAGACAUCACUAAUGGACUGGAAAUUAUUCAGCUUGCAAAUACCCAGUUAAAAUAGAAAUAAAAACCCUGCUUUCCAUGUUUCUCCUUGCUUGGUGGGAUUACACUGGUUGUGCAAAUGCAGCACAUGAAAAACACUGCCUGGUGGAUGAACUAGGUGAUACUCUAGGUUACAUACACUUAUUACUUUGCACAAGAAACUGGGUGAAUAUACCACACAGGUAUUAGGCAGAGAGAAUGGUGCUGAAUCCUCUUGUUGAAGGAAAUAUUGGAUGACUUCAGCUCAGAAGAGUUUUCUUCCCAUGGCUGUAAGAGUGAACUAGAAAGAGCCACAGUAAAUCUUUCUCUGGGGAACGAAUGGGAAACUGUACUACAGAAAGUAGAGUAUGGAGAGAGAAAAGCAAACCCUUAUGACCUUAAGAACAUAAUAAAGAUGGUCAGGCCAGAGGAAGUCUGGGCAAAAAUGAGGGACUGUGGAAGUUGCCUGUCAUCGUGACUAGUGGGAAGUAGAACAUGCACGAAGAAGAUGAGACAAUAGCUGGAAAUAUGUAGACACUGCUAAGACUAACCUUGAGCCACAUCCUUAUUUAGGGGCUAACAACAAUUUAUGUUUAAUAUUGUAGUCCAAUAGCAAUGUUUUCCCUUAUCUUAGAGAAUCUGUUGUUCAUUUGUUUGAAUGUAUGUAAGCAUACAAACCUAAAGAUAGGAUAGGGUUUAGCCUUGAGGUUUCCUCACAAGCAUAUGCUCUCAACAAGCAGCAAAUGCUAAAGCUAAAUGUGUUUCAGUCUGCUUUGACACUUACCACAUGAUUCUUCUAGCAUGUUCCAGUCAUCAAACAACAUAUACAACCUUCAGUCGUCUACUAAGCAACCUACUAAGGAGUAAUUUCAACAAGAACAUAAAUUCAGUGAAAAUAUAAAUACAUGUUCAACUGUUGCUAGAUGAAAUGGUGGGUCGUGAGAAGAAAGGGCAUUUCCAUUCUUCAAACCCUACAGGGUGAGCGUAUUUUCACUUUGCAAGUGCUUUCUAUUCGACAUGUAUGUGAUACAUGAGAAGCCUGAGAUGUACUGUACUUGGGUAUACAGAGCUAAAAAGAAACACCCCUCAGUUGUGAGUUGUAUGUAGCUAUGAACUAAUAUCUUUUUUUCUUCUUUUUUUUCCUGCUGUGUUAUGUGCUGUUAAAUAAAACACUGACUCCCUCCUUAGGGUCAGUCAGGCUCCUGUUGUGUUCUGAACUCUCUACUGACUUAAAUUUUGAGUUCCUCUGACUUAAUCUGAAUUUCACUCAAGAUAUAUUACAAAAAAGUGUUUUUGUCUUCUCUGAGUAUGUGGAGAAAUGUAACAAUACCAAGAGUCAUUUUGGUAUCCAGAACAGUGUAACAGUGGUGUCUAACAGGCAGAGCUGUACAUAAGCAUCGGUGCUCAAAAUCUUGCCAAGAAUUUAGUUUUCUAGAUAGCAGUCUAAUAUUAGCCAACACAAAACUUGACAGUGGAAA